CAGCAUCCCGUACCCGUUUGGCACCGGAAAAGGCUGCUUUCAAGAACCCUUUAAUGUCACAUGCAAUCAGACCGGGGCGUAUCUGGCCUCAACCGAAUCGGAAGUUAGGGUACUGGAUAUCAAUCUUACCAUAGGUGAGAUUCGUGUUCUGAACCCACACAUAUCAUGGGAAUGCAACUACACCAACGGCACCAGUGGCAACGGUUCGGAUGGCUUAAGCCUUGAUGCUUUUUAUAAGGUUUCCAACACCAAGAACAAGUUGAUAUCGAUUGGUUGUGCUACACUUGGAUUGAUCUUAGGACUCACCAAGGGCAAGAACCAGCUUGAGUUCCCCAUUGUUAACACAUGCUAUUCAGUCUGCACUGACGCAAAUAGCGUGGAUGAUAGCACAAAGUGUGUUGGCAUGGGUUGCUGCCAAACUCCCUUGCCAGGAAACAUCAGCUCCUUCAGCACCAUAUCUUCAUCAUUAACAUUUACAAACUCUAAAAGCCAGCCUUUCAGCCCGUGCAGCUACUCAUUUGUCGCUGAGGAGGACUGGUUCAAGUUCGAUCGUUCAUAUGUCAGAUCUACAAAUUUCGCAAGUAAAUAUACAGAUGGGGUCCAUUUGGUACUUGAUUGGGUUGUUGGUAAUGAAAGUUGUUCGGAAGCCACCAAAAUGGGAUCACGGUAUGCCUGCAAAGACAUGAACAGUAAAUGUGUUGAUGUGUCCAACGGCCCUGGUUACCGGUGCAACUGCUCUCAAGGUUAUGAGGGCAAUCCCUACCUACAAGGAGGGUGCCAAGGUACAUAUAUGCGUCUUGCAGAAUAAACCUACUCUCUCUGUUCUAUCAGCUUUAUUUAUGGAAUGGAAUAUUCUGUUUAUCCAUGUUGACAUUCUCCUCACUUCCUUGAAAUGACAGACAUCAACGAGUGUGAACCUCCAAACCAGUCCUUGUAUCCUUGCCAAGGUAAAUGCAGCAAUACCAUUGGAAACUACACCUGUUUCUGCCCAUCAGGAUUCAGGAGUGAUGAUCCAAAGAGCAUACCCUGUGUUCCAGCUGACCCGAAGAAAGCUCUGAAGGUGGUCUUAGGUAAUUAGAUUGUUAGCAAUCAUAAUAUUUUGAACCAAUUAUACAAGUUCAAGAACAGUUUAUAUACAUGAAUAUGGCCAAGCAAUGGGCUAUAUGUUGCACUGCAUCUGGUUGAACUGAUGGUAAUUAGCUGUCAUGAUUUCCAGGCAUAUCCUUCAGUACCAUAUUCCUGAUGGUUUGUAUCUUUGCUCUACGGGCUGAGUAUCAGAAAAGGAAGCUUGCCAAAGAGAAGGACAAAUUCUUUGAUCAGAAUGGUGGUCAAAUAUUGUAUCGCCAAAUUAUGUCAAAACAAGUCGACACAUUGAAGAUAUUCACUGAAGAAGAUCUGAAGAAGGCUACAAACGAUUUUGACAAGAGCAGAGAACUUGGCAGGGGUGGUCAUGGCACUGUCUACAAGGGCAUUCUGAAGGAUAACAGGGUAGUGGCCGUGAAACGCUCAAAGAUAAUGAAUGUGGCCGAAACUGAUGAAUUCGUGCAGGAGAUUAUUAUUCUUUCACAGACCAACCACCGCAAUGUGGUCAGGCUUCUGGGGUGCUGCUUGGAGGUAGAAGUCCCCAUACUGGUCUAUGAAUUCAUUCCAAACGGCACUCUAUUUGAGUUCAUCCAUCGUAGCUAUGGGAGUCCGCCUCCGUCUUUGGACACUCGUCUCAGGGUCGCUCAAGAAUCCGCUGAAGCACUGGCGUAUCUUCAUCUGUCCAUGAACCACCCUAUAGUGCACGGGGAUGUCAAGUCUAUGAACAUUCUCUUGGACGAGAACUACAUGGCGAAGGUGACUGACUUUGGGGCAUCAAGGACACUCCCCAAGGACGCGGCCCAGUUCAUGACAUUGGUGCAGGGCACCCUGGGUUACCUGGACCCCGAGUACUUGCAGGAGCGGCAACUGACUGAGAAGAGCGACGUGUACAGUUUCGGGGUUGUGCUGCUGGAGCUGAUCACGGGGAAGACGGCCAUCUACAACGACGGGCCCAAGGAAGGCAAGAGCCUCGUGUGGUCCUUCCUACUCGCCAUGAAGGAGGAGACCCUCGAGGACAUCCUGGACCCGAGCAUCGUGCGCGUGGGGACGGAGACGCUGCUGAGAGAAGUGGCCGAGCUGGGGAGGAUGUGCUUGGGCGCCAGGGGCGAAGAGAGGCCUUCCAUGACCCAGGUGGCCGACAGGCUGAAGGCCCUGCGGAGCACCUGGAGGGAAGAGCUUGUGCUGGACCGUGCCGUGACGGAGCAUAUGGUCGUGCACAUGCCACCUGUGGAUGCUCCGAUGCCUUGGGAUCUCGCGUCGUCGUCCUCGGGUGCCCCCUCGACGGUGCCGUACAUGUCUGGAAUGGGCAUAGAGGUGCCCAGAUGAUGAAGUUUCAUGUCUGGAAUGGGCAUAGAGGUGCCCAGAUGAUGAAGUUUCAUCUGAACCUUCCUUUGGAGCAGUAUUGCCAGGAGAAAGUGUGUGCCUUAGAGGCUUAGAGCUUCAGGGUUUAUACCGUCCAGCAGAAAUGUGCAGGUAGCUGUGCUGUGUUGGAGGUACCAAGUAUGUACGUAGAAGUUGGAAUUUGUUGCGUGUUGUGUGUUCCUGUGUGGAGUUUUCCAUGACAUUUGACUUGCCAGUUUCUGUGUUCCUUUCCAGUAUGAGAAUUCGCAUGCAGUGUUGUUCAACUACUCAUUAGAAUUCGUUUUGGCAGCGAGGUUAGCUCGGCCGGCACUGCAGUAAUCAUAAUUUUGAACUGGAGUAAUCAUAAACUGCAGUCAAAGAUGGCAAUUAUACUGCAGUCUCCUAGAAAUUGUGCUCCUGCAGAUACUCCCUGUUUGAUUAAGUGAACACUGUUACUCCUCUGCUUGAAAAGAUACUCCUGUGCACUGAACACUGUUACUCCAGCAAGUUUACUGCAAGAAAAUACUCCACAUUGUUAUCUUGGCAGGAAUCUGUAUUUUUUAUCUUCAGAAAUCUGUAUUUUUUAUCUUGGCAACGCAUAAAAGGUACUGGCUGCACAUUGUUAAGUUCAGUUGGUCCUGAAAAAGUGAAAAAAUGCUGAGUGAGCCGUGCAUGAGGAGGCGCCUCUGACACUGAUCGAUCCCGGUUAAGUUCGACCGAUAGCAGAGGGUCAGGGCAAACCAUCGCAGGGGCAAAAUCGUCCGCAAGAAAAUAUGAUUGGAGGGUCCUACAGGUCGGGUAUUUUGUCAAAGGGAUGGUUAAAGGCGUGUCAUUUUGGCAAUAGAAGCAAAGUGUUUUUAUGGAACAACGACAAAAAAAAAAUGAUGCAUCAUUUUUACAACUAUGCAUGUCUAACUACUCCCUCCGUUCCUAAACAUAAGUCUUUAUAGAGAUUUCACUAGUGGACUACAUACGGAUGUAUAUAGACAUACUUUAGAGUAUAGAUUCAAUCAUUUUGCUUCGUAUGUAGACUCUUAGUGAAAUCGCUUAAAAGACUUAUAUUUAGAAACGGAGGGAGUAGUUGGAUUUUGUGUCCAUGAUGUAGGAUUUGACUUUGAAUCGUGUCAAAUCUGAGGUUUCCUUCUUUCUUUCUUUCUGUCAUACUCAACAUCGGUAGCGGUCCUGUCGAAAAUGCAGCACAUCACCUUCUUUCCCAUCACCAUUUUCAUACUUUUCGUGCAGUCAUCGGCGUCUUUCUGAUAACUUGAUGCAUAGAUAUUUUUCUUUCUCAACAACGGUUUCAGUGCAAUCAACAUGCCACAAAUGCAUAUGCUUGCAAGCAAAUAACUAGAGUAGUCCAGGCUUCAAGAACGAAAGGUACCUCAGGCCUACCUACGGUUGGUAACUACCUGUCUAACCGGAAUUGUAUUUUUGUUAAACUUUGGCCAUUAUUUGAACUACUGAGAAAGGAUUUUCUGGUGGCGCGGUUUCUACCACAGUCAUGUUAUUUUACUUAUACAGUAUGAUGUAUUUGGGCCCUUUCACUUAUUUCUCUGUUAUUCCCUUAUAGCUGCAAAAAGUCACUUUGGAGGACGAGUGCAUUGGAACCUUGUAUUUUGAAUAGUUCCAAAAUGCUAUUUUGAAGUUUUAAAAAGAUCUGAAAAUAAAUCAACAUGUUUAUAUGGAAGUAUAUUACACAUGUGCAAAUUUUGAAGUUGAAAUAAGUAGCCAUGUGAGUUAUACAAAAAUGACAAAAUCGUGAUUUUGGAAAGAUGAAUAGUGAAUGUACUAUUCACCAUUUGGAAAUCACCAUUUUGUCAUUUUUGUAUAUCUUACAUGUUUACUUAUUUCAUCAUCAAAUUCUACACAUAUGUAAUAUACAUCCAUAUGAUCACGUAGAAUUCUUUUUGCGAUUUUUUGAAACUUUAAAUGUGAGUUUUAUAGUGUUUAAAGUAAAGUCCUCCAAUACACCCGUGUUCCCAAAAUCCUCUCUGGGACUAACCCACUAUUUGAGGACAACACUUUUUUGUACUCUAUUAUUUAUUUAAACGUGGACUCAUCUAUCCACCGAUCAUUUUUAGUUGGAUUUUAAAGUUUGUAUCAUUUAUAUCCUUUGAACUAUUGAUCUGAAUUAUGAUCCGUUAGUAUAUUAGUGUUCCUACUGCUUAAUACUACUCCCUCAGUUUCAAAAUAAUUGUCUCAACUUUAUACUAACUUUAAUACAAAAUUAUACUAAGCUUAAGACACUUAUUUUGGGACAGGGGGAGUACUAUCUAAAACAAGAUCCAUCUUAGACACAUAUUGAUAAGUUUUCAAUUCAAGUUAUUAAUUCAUGAUGAAACUUAUAUGAAAUGCAAUAACAUUGAAUCCGCCUCACAAUACCUCGUGACACCGACAAGGGGGGGUUGCAGCGGGUGGUUAGAGUUUCCACCCGAGCCGCCCGAGAGAAGCGACAUUCCAAGCCAUGAUGAACAAAAACGACCUAUCAGAUAUAGUAAACUGGCACCGGUAGAAAAUAGUUUCACUUUAACUAUCUCUAUCUGUGUUUAUUUGAGAAGAAAGGUGUAACAUAUUCAGUGGUCAUAAACAGCAAAUUCCUAAAAAAAAAGGGGAAAAAUCUGAAACUUCCAGGGAUCAAUAGCCAGCUAGGAGGAGGGGUAGGGGAGAGCGGGUCUCCUNNNNNNNNNNNNNNNNNNNNNNNNNNNNNNNNNNNNNNNNNNNNNNNNNNNNNNNNNNNNNNNNNNNNNNNNNNNNNNNNNNNNNNNNNNNNNNNNNNNNNNNNNNNNNNNNNNNNNNNNNNNNNNNNNNNNNNNNNNNNNNNNNNNNNNNNNNNNNNNNNNNNNNNNNNNNNNNNNNNNNNNNNNNNNNCCUGCUGAAGGGGACUAUUCAGUCACAACAGCGUCACCAUUGAUUGAGCUUAAAUAGCAUGAUGGGAACUCGUGUCUUCUCAAAAAGCAUCGUUAAUCAUACUAGUACUAAUACUAGAAAACAAGAGUGAGCCGAUGGCCUGCUGCAGUUGAGUCAUUUUCCCCCUUCCGAGCGGAUCAGGCUGCUUGCUUCAUCUCGUCAUCUCCCAGCUGGUGCCCCUCACUCGCGCGCGACGGCUCCAACAAGAUCAUGGACUGCUCGCUGACUGCGGGUGAGAAGAAUCUCUUUUCUGGCAUGUUGGUUUUCUUUUCGUCUGUGUAUAUAUGCAUGUAUAGUUUCUUUCCCUUUUCAAAAGUUUUGCCAUGGUGUUUGCUUCUGAUCGUCGUCGUUGCUGUCCGAUUUUCAUCACCGGCCGGGAGGGAGCCAACAAGCAACGAGGCCUCAAACCUUGUCUUGAGAAUUUUUCCUCUUUCCUAAAUUAAAGCUUGCCUUGACUUGAGUUGAGAGGGGUGUCAUGAUCUUUUUCUUCUUGUUCCUACUAUCUUGGACGACCUUGUAGAAGGGGAAAUGCUAAAUGCAAACCUGAGUAGUGGGACACAACUGUUAGAAUACUUGUACGCAUGUAUGUCCAUAGAUGUAUAGAUCCACAAUUGUAGGAUCAUGGCCUGCCUGCAUGCCAGAUACCAGGCACCUCUCUCAUGGACGCGCCCGCUUCCUCCCCUGCGCUCGGUGCCGCCACCACCGACGGCUCUUCUCCGGCCCCUCUGCUCUUCACCACCCCGGCCGCCCCCGUCACCUCGGCCGCCUCUGCGGCCUCCUCCGCGACUUCCGUCGCCGCCGCCUCCCACCCCUUUGUCUUCCAGACGAACGCCUCCUCACCGGCAUCUGGCUCCGUCGCCCCUCGGUCCACCUUCGCACCCCUCUUCUCCUCCACACCUCCGGCGGCCCCUCCACCACCGCGGCAUCCCAUUUUCAAUGACCAUAUCACCAACCACAUCAAGUUUCUCCUCAAUCCUGCAGAUCACAACUAUCACAAGUGGAAGUCGUUCUUCCUCAUGGUUCUCGUCCGCUACGGCGUCACCUAUCUCCUUGAUCACCCUCCUCCACCCAACGCCGACGCUCAGUACCUUGAGCUCGACGCCCACGUCGCCUUAUGGCUCUACGCCACCCUCGCCGACUCCAUGGUAGAUCAUGUCGUUGGUGCCACCACCUCCUUCGCCAUCUGGAAGAAGAUCCAGGACUACUUCCUCUUCAAUCACGCCGCGCGUUUCAUGAUCCUCAACCGCCAGUAUCACAAUCUCAAACAGGGUGACCUUCCCGUUUCGGAGUAUGCCCGCCGCAUGAAACUCCUCAUGGAUGGCCUCGCCGACAUCGAUCACCCCGUCUCGACAAAAAUGCUGAAUAAACAUGCGUUUAUUUCUAUCCAAUGCUAGUUACUUAUCAAUUGCAUGGAUGUAAAAAUUACUUUGCCGGAAAGUGGAGCGUAGCCCCAACCAAACCGUGAAGGUCGCAGAAUUGUCGUCGACGAGGGUGAGCCAUGACCUCACCCGAGGUGGGUAGGAUUAGAUAGUGCUCGAGCUCGAGAUGGGGAACUCGUCGGACGUGAGGUAGGGGGUAGGCUGGGGGAGGAAGGGUUGAAAUCAUAAGUUGGGUGAGGAAGACAAACCAUGUCGCUUGGAUGAAAAGAAAAACAAGAACAAGAACAUGAGGGUUUGAAUCAUAUACUUGAGAGGAAGGGAGUGUAGAUAGACUAAAACGAAAAUAGUUAUUAGUCGCAUGACCCAUAGGUACUCCCUUGUUUUAUUGUAACAGUAGAAUAUUUUGCAUACAGAAAAAUAUGAUGUUCCCUAUGAUCCAUAUGGGCCCAUGUAGGUCGGCACAUCACAACUUACCUUAAAAAACCUAGCACGACAGGACCCAUGUCCAUCCUUUUUAUAAAAGGGUCGUGACAUGCUGGCUGGAAGGCCUCAGCUCGGGUAUUGGCCUGACACGUGACUUAAAAAGGGCGGCCUGUCAUGACACGUCUAUAGGCCGGCACAUCUUAUUAUGAAGGCGUAAAGAGCACUAAAAAAUGUCAAAAUAUAACCCAAAUAGCAAAUCAUUAGUUAUGGAACAAUCUCCGCAAGCUCCACUUUCACUAUCUCAAAUUAUGACAAGUGUUACACUGAAGUCUUCAUGUGCGUCACUUGUCGUAACCUGAAAGUUUUUCCUUUUUUUUAUAGAUUUGUGUAUUCGAAAAAAUUAUCUUCCAAACUGUGUAUCUAAAUCUUAAAUCAUUUUCGGUGUUGGAUUCCUCGCGUUGAGAUCUUAAUAACUAGAUCCAAUGCUGAUGAACUUUUUUUUCAUGAAAAACCGGAAUAGAAAGCCCGAACCAUAAGCACAUUUGUUUCUGUGUGCAAAUGUCACUUUCACCAUCUCGCGGAAGCAAAUCCGUCCUCUUGUGAAAAAAAAACAUAUGAAAAAGAUACGACUGUAUCUCUUGUGAAAGUAAAUUCGUGCUUUCAUGGAUAGCAAAUCUGUGCCACUCGCACAGAAAACAAAACGCAAGAGGCAUGGUCCUGCCUCUGACGGAAGGAAAAAACCGUAUUAUUUACCCUUUUCAGCUUAAGAAGGCAUUUUUUAGGCAAGCUUAGAAAAAGCCGUACCGGGCUGGUAAGGCUCGGCCUUACAAAUACGGCCCAUAUAACCAAGUUUCGGGCCCAUGCUGCGAAGUGAUCCCUACCACUCAAAAAAAAAAAAGAGAGAGUGCGAAGUGACCUCCAGCCGCCAUUGUCGCCUCGCCGGCGACAUGCCUGUCGCCGCCGAUGCAGGUCCCUGCUCCAUCUGCGCACCACCAUCAGUACGGAACCUCCCCUUCCGGCGAGUUUCCGUGGCCGGAGUUCUGUCCCCUCCUACUGGCGCCGGCGCCGGCACGUCGGAUCCGGGCAUCUGACUCUACCCGCCUCCCCCGCAGCCGCGUUCCGCAGUCGCGCCGUGCUGUGCUCAGGUCUACCAAUCAUGCCCUGUAAGGUAUGGCGAACCCUACCCCCCUGUUGGCUGUUGCUGGAGUUUGUCUUUGUCCUGUACCUUGGAUGUAAUGUGGACUCGAAGCCUUAGGAGAUUAUAUUAGGAGGAAUUAGGAAUUAGGAGCAGAGAUGUAAGCAAGAACCCAAGAUAUAUAGAUAGUUUGUCGUCUCCUGCAUUGCCGGAACUACAAAACAUUCAGUUGCAUAGAGGGGAUUUUCACUUCACUGCCUUACAUGUGAAAUCAGGGGGGCAAGUCAAGUGGGAUGGAGGUUUCACUGUGAUGGCAUGUAGGAAUCAAAUUCAUGGAGUGGCGGCGUGGAAGAAAUAGGCUGUUUUCCGAUGGCAAAUGACAGGAAAAUAUAUUACCACAUAGAAGCUGAUUUCUCACAAUUCUUUGUUUCCGAUGUCAUCAGGAAUGUGGUGUAUAAGCACAAGCAGUCAUCAGGAAUGUGAUGGUGCUACCCCCAGGCAUCCAAUGUAGUAUCAAUUUAGCUUUAUGCGUAUAGAGCCACAAACAGGCGACUAAUAUAUCUAUUAAAAAUAUAUUCUGUUCAUAUUCAUUGUGUAUUCAAGUUUUUAACAUCGCAAAGGAUAAGCAACUGAUAGAGAUAUUUCAUCCGAAAAGUUGCAUAUAAAGACCCAAAAUGUAAGGAUGUGCAAACUGAAACAAUCACUAGAAACAAGCUACCAUAAAAAGUUCUAUUUUUUGGGGAAUUUACCGUAACAAGUUCUGGAAUGAGAACUGAAGAAAAAUGGAGUCUGCAGUAAAUACUGAAUGGCGGCUUCCUUUUUAUCUACACCCAGCAUAGAUGCAUACUUUGUCAUGUUUUUCAGUACUCUUUCUUUCUUCGUCCCUAGGUUAAUUUUGAGCUUCAAUUCUUUUGUGGUUAAUAUGGACGUGAAAUCAGAGAGAACCAUAGAUAGAUAUUCAAAGUUCAUGUUUUACUUUCAAACAUGGGCUAUACCUUUGCUCUCUAAAUCUGAUUCCAAGAUUGUUGGGUCAAAGCGUUUGCAAUAGUGGACUAAACUCCUAACUAGCUACUGAUAUAUGUCAAACAAUCAGGGCUUAUAGGGAGUAUCCCCUAUUAUUUGUGUUCGGAGGAAUGACCAAACACCAUAUUCUAGAAGAAAGCAAAUAUUUGGAAUUUAUUAUAUUUUAUGCGGGGCCAAAUGAAUCAUAUCAAUUACUUGGUCGUUGCCUUACAGGACAGAAGCUCUUACUAUUUUUCACCGCCACCCUAACCCUGCAACAUAGUAAUACUGCUUAUGGGUCUGAGUCCUCUGGGAGCAUCCUCAUGGCGCGGCCUGACUGCCCAGACAAGUGUGGUAAAGUCAGCAUCCCGUACCCGUUUGGCACCGGAAAAGGCUGCUUUCAAGAACACUUUAAUGUCAUAUGCAAUGAGACCGGGGCAUAUCUGGCCUCAACCCAAGUUAGGGUACUAGAGAUCAAUCUUAUUCUUGGUGAGGUUCGUGUUCUGAACCCACGUAUAGCAUGGGAAUGCAACUACACCGACGGCACCAAUAGCAGUGAUUCCGAUGGCUUAAUCCUUGGUCCUUUUC
Molecule: long non-coding RNA, 9858 nt
Filed under: Hordeum vulgare
Lineage: Eukaryota; Viridiplantae; Streptophyta; Magnoliopsida; Poales; Poaceae
Description: long non-coding RNA (HVUL_LNC017612)
Source: RNAcentral